RNAcentral lists this ribosomal RNA (490 nucleotides) under uncultured bacterium. Its description in RNAcentral is "bacterial SSU rRNA". It matches the Rfam family "Bacterial small subunit ribosomal RNA", at positions 17 to 518 of the family's 1533-position model. The record is from RNAcentral.
UCAUGGCUCAGGAUGAACGCUGGCGGCGCGCUUAACACAUGCAAGUCGAACGGUUAAAGCACCUCCGGGUGUGCAUAAAGUGGCGAACGGCUGAGUAACACGUGGGCAACCUGCCCCCCGCACCGGGAUAGCCUCGGGAAACCGUGGGUAAUACCGGAUACUCCGCCACCCCCGCAUGGGGGAGGCGGGAAAGCGUACACGGCGGGGGAUGGGCCCGCGGCCUGUUAGCUCGUUGGCGGGGUAACGGCCCACCAAGGCGAUUAUGGGUAGCCGGGUUGAGAGACCGACCGGCCAGAUUGGGACUGAGACACGGCCCAGACUCCUACGGGAGGCAGCAGUGGGGAAUCUUGCACAAUGGGCGAAAGCCUGAUGCAAGCGACGCCGCGUGCGGGACGAAGGCCCUCGGGUUGUAAACCGCUUUCAGCAGGGACGAGGCGCGAGUGACGGUACCUGCAGAAGAAGCCCCGGCUAACUACGUGCCAGCCGCUGC